Molecule: ribosomal RNA, 433 nt
Filed under: uncultured bacterium
Lineage: Bacteria
Description: partial 16S ribosomal RNA
Rfam family: Bacterial small subunit ribosomal RNA
Source: RNAcentral
AACGAACGCUGGCGGCAUGCCUAACACAUGCAAGUCGAACGAGACCUUCGGGUCUAGUGGCGCACGGGUGCGUAACGCGUGGGAACCUGCCCUUAGGUUCGGAAUAACUCCCCGAAAGGGGUGCUAAUACCGGAUAAUGUCUUCGGACCAAAGAUUUAUCGCCUUUGGAUGGGCCCGCGUUGGAUUAGCUAGUUGGUAGGGUAAAAGCCUACCAAGGCGACGAUCCAUAGCUGGUCUGAGAGGAUGAUCAGCCACACUGGGACUGAGACACGGCCCAGACUCCUACGGGAGGCAGCAGUUGGGAAUAUUGGACAAUGGGCGAAAGCCUGAUCCAGCAAUGCCGCGUGAGUGAUGAAGGCCUUAGGGUUGUAAAGCUCUUUUACCCGGGAUUAUAAUGACAGUACCGGGAGAAUAAGCUCCGGCUAACUCCGUG